This 74-nucleotide transfer RNA is filed under the name Citrobacter phage Moon. It matches the Rfam family "tRNA". From Rfam's summary of the family: Transfer RNA (tRNA) molecules are approximately 80 nucleotides in length. Lineage: Duplodnaviria; Heunggongvirae; Uroviricota; Caudoviricetes; Pantevenvirales; Straboviridae. The record is from Rfam by way of RNAcentral.
CUCCGCAUAGCUCAGCUUGGUAGAGCGCCUGGUUUGGGACCAGGAGGUCGAAUGUUCGAGUCAUUCUGUGGAGA